GACGAACGCUGGCGGCGUGCUUAACACAUGCAAGUCGAACGGAAAGGCCCUUCGGGGUACUCGAGUGGCGAACGGGUGAGUAACACGUGGGUGAUCUGCCCUGCACUUUGGGAUAAGCCUGGGAAACUGGGUCUAAUACCGAAUAGGACCACGCGCUUCAUGGUGUGUGGUGGAAAGCUUUUGCGGUGUGGGAUGGGCCCGCGGCCUAUCAGCUUGUUGGUGGGGUAAUGGCCUACCAAGGCGACGACGGGUAGCCGGCCUGAGAGGGUGACCGGCCACACUGGGACUGAGGUACGGCCCAGACUGCUACGGGAGGCAGCAGUGGGGAAUAUUGCACAAUAGGCGCCAGCCUGAUGCAGCGACGCCGCGUGAGGAAUGACGGCCUUCGGGUUGUAAACCUCUUUCAAUAGAGACGAAGCGCAAGUGACGGUACCUAUAGAAGAAGCACCGGCCAACUACGUG
Molecule: ribosomal RNA, 462 nt
Filed under: uncultured bacterium
Lineage: Bacteria
Description: partial 16S ribosomal RNA
Rfam family: Bacterial small subunit ribosomal RNA
Source: RNAcentral